RNAcentral lists this ribosomal RNA (253 nucleotides) under uncultured bacterium. Its description in RNAcentral is "partial 16S ribosomal RNA". It matches the Rfam family "Bacterial small subunit ribosomal RNA", at positions 524 to 776 of the family's 1533-position model. The record is from RNAcentral.
UACGGAGGGGGCGAGCGUUAUUCGGAAUUAUUGGGCGUAAAGGGCGCGUAGGCGGCUUUAUAAGUCGGGGGUGAAAGCCUGUGGCUCAACCACAGAAUUGCCUUCGAUACUGUAGAGCUUGAGACCGGAAGAGGUAAGUGGAACUGCGAGUGUAGAGGUGAAAUUCGUAGAUAUUCGCAAGAACACCCGUGGCGCAAGCGGCCACCUGGCUGCCAACUGACGCUGAGGCACGAGAGCGUGGGGAGCGAACCGG